This 208-nucleotide long non-coding RNA is filed under the name Carica papaya (papaya). RNAcentral's name for it is "long non-coding RNA (CPAP_LNC016435)". Lineage: Eukaryota; Viridiplantae; Streptophyta; Magnoliopsida; Brassicales; Caricaceae. The record is from RNAcentral.
UAUAAAUAUCUAUGUAAUCUCAUUUUUAAAUAAAGUUCAACUAUUCAAUAAACUAAAAUGAGAGAUCUUAAUUUUCUUGUGUGAUGUAAUCAAAUCUUGUUUAAGACUUCUUAUAUGCAAAGUCUAAGUUUGUAUCACCAAAUCUUCAAGUAGGCAAAUUAUCCUUAACUUGUCAUAUAUUAGUUGGUAUAAAACUAAAAGCUCUAUA